GCAGGGAGCGGUGGUGCACACCUGUAAUCCCAGAGGCUCAGGAGGCUGAGGCAGGAGGAUUGCUAGUUCAAAGCCAGCCUCAGCAAUAGCAAGGCACUAAACAACUCAGUGAGACCCUGUCUCUC
RNAcentral lists this small RNA (125 nucleotides) under Marmota monax (woodchuck). Lineage: Eukaryota; Metazoa; Chordata; Mammalia; Rodentia; Sciuridae. The record is from RNAcentral.